Molecule: ribosomal RNA, 492 nt
Filed under: uncultured bacterium
Lineage: Bacteria
Description: partial 16S ribosomal RNA
Rfam family: Bacterial small subunit ribosomal RNA
Source: RNAcentral
AGUGAACGCUGGCGGUAGGCCUAACACAUGCAAGUCGAACGGCAGCACAGUAAGAGCUUGCUCUUACGGGUGGCGAGUGGCGGACGGGUGAGGAAUACAUCGGAAUCUACUUUUUCGUGGGGGAUAACGUAGGGAAACUUACGCUAAUACCGCAUACGACCUACGGGUGAAAGCAGGGGAUCUUCGGACCUUGCGCGAUUGAAUGAGCCGAUGUCGGAUUAGCUAGUUGGCGGGGUAAAGGCUCACCAAGGCGACGAUCCGUAGCUGGUCUGAGAGGAUGAUCAGCCACACUGGAACUGAGACACGGUCCAGACUCCUACGGGAGGCAGCAGUGGGGAAUAUUGGACAAUGGGCGCAAGCCUGACCCAGCCAUACCGCGUGAGUGAAGAAGGCCUUCGGGUUGUAAAGCCCUUUUGUUGGGAAAGAAAAGCAGCAGGUUAACACCCCGCUGUUCUGACGGUACCCAAAGAAUAAGCAACGGCUAACUUCGUG